This is a non-coding RNA of Schistosoma haematobium, 46 nucleotides long. The record is from Rfam. Lineage: Eukaryota; Metazoa; Platyhelminthes; Trematoda; Strigeidida; Schistosomatidae.
GCACUGCUGAGGAGUCCCAUACCAGGACGAGACGGCUGUCCAGUGC